CCCUUAGAUGUCCUGGGCUGCACGCGCGCUACACUGAUGUGUCCAGUAAGCACCUAACCUCUUCCGAAAGGAACGGGUAACCUUUGCAAAGCACAUCGUGAUGGGGAUAGAUUAUUGCAAUUAUUAGUCUUGAACGAGGAAUUCCUAGUAAGCACAAGUCAUCAGCUUGUGUUGAUUACGUCCCUGCCCUUUGUACACACCGCCCGUCGCACCUACCGAUUGAAUGACUCGGUGAAAAAUUGGGACCGUGAGUCUGUUUGCUUCAUUGCGAGUGGAUUGAUGGGAACUUUUUUAAACCUCGCCAUUUAGAGGAAGGUGAAGUCGUAACA
This 329-nucleotide ribosomal RNA is filed under the name uncultured eukaryote. RNAcentral describes it as "partial 18S ribosomal RNA". It matches the Rfam family "Eukaryotic small subunit ribosomal RNA", at positions 1470 to 1796 of the family's 1831-position model. The record is from RNAcentral.